GAUGAACGCUGGCGGCGUGCCUAAUACAUGCAAGUCGAACGGACAGGCCAUGAUCUUGCGCGUCGCUCGUUUGCCGCACGCGUGUGUAUCACGCGUGUAUCCUGUCCCUGUCUUUCUGAUAUCACUUCGAAACUGCGGCUCUUAUCGCAUAUGAUCUCUUGCUGCACGUUGUUCGUUGGAUAGUUUCGGCGGUUGUGGAUCGUCUCGCGGCUUAUCAGCUUGUUGGUGUGGUUGUGGCUUACCAAGGCUUUGACGGGUAGCCGGCCUGAGAGGGUGACCGGCCACAUUGGGACUGAGAUACGGCGCAGACUCCAACGGGAGGCAGCAGUGGGGAAUAUGGCACAAUGGGCGGAAGCCAGAUGCAGCAACGCCGCGUGCGGGAUGACGGCCUUCGGGUUGUAAACCACUGUCGCCUGUGACGAAGCGUGAGUGACGGUAAUGGGUAAAGAAGCACCGGCUAACUACGUG
Molecule: ribosomal RNA, 468 nt
Filed under: uncultured bacterium
Lineage: Bacteria
Description: partial 16S ribosomal RNA
Rfam family: Bacterial small subunit ribosomal RNA
Source: RNAcentral